GCUCCUUCCCGCCUUAUUAUUACCGCCCGUCCGCCAGCUUUACCCUGUGAAGGCAUCGCAGUAAGCAAGAUGGGCAAUAGCCCAAAACGUCAGGUCGAGGUGUAGCGUACGAAGUAGGAAGAAAUGGGCUACAUUAUCUGAAGCAGAUUAUUCACGGAAAGUCACCUGAAAACGCUGACUCGAAGGUGGAUUUAGCAGUAAGGAGAGAAUAGAGAGCUCUCCUGAAGCCGGCUCUGAAGCGCGCACACACCGCCCGUCACUCUCCCCAACAACCCUAGCAUUUGAUAACUAACACAACAACGAUUACAAGGGGAGGCAAGUCGUAACAUGGUAAGUGUACCGGAAGGUGCACUUGGAAUAAC
RNAcentral lists this ribosomal RNA (362 nucleotides) under Sardinella jussieu (Mauritian sardinella). Its description in RNAcentral is "partial 12S ribosomal RNA". It matches the Rfam family "Bacterial small subunit ribosomal RNA", at positions 1105 to 1527 of the family's 1533-position model. The record is from RNAcentral. Lineage: Eukaryota; Metazoa; Chordata; Actinopteri; Clupeiformes; Clupeidae.